GACGAACGCUGGCGGCGUGCUUAACACAUGCAAGUCGAACGGAAAGGCCCUGCUUUUGUGGGGUGCUCGAGUGUCGAACGGGUGAGUAACACGUGAGUAACCUGCCCUUGACUUUGGGAUAACUUCAGGAAACUGGGGCUAAUACCGGAUAUGACCUCCUGCUGCAUGGUGGGGGUUGGAAAGUUUCGGCGGUUGUGGAUGGACUCGCGGCUUAGCAGCUUGUUGGUGAGGUAGUGGCUUACCAAGGCUUGGACGGGUAGCCGGCCUGCGAGGGUGACCGGCCACAUUGGGACUGAGAUACGGCCCAGACUCCUACGGGAGGCAGCAGUGGGGAAUAUUGCACAAUGGGCGGAAGCAGGAUGCAGCAACGCCGCGUGCGGGAUGACGGCCUUCGGGUUGUAACCCGUUUUCGCCUGUGACGAAGAGUGAGUGACGGUAAUGGGUAAAGAAGCAACGGCUAACUACGUG
Molecule: ribosomal RNA, 468 nt
Filed under: uncultured bacterium
Lineage: Bacteria
Description: partial 16S ribosomal RNA
Rfam family: Bacterial small subunit ribosomal RNA
Source: RNAcentral